This is a long non-coding RNA of Physeter macrocephalus (sperm whale), 650 nucleotides long. RefSeq lists it as uncharacterized. Lineage: Eukaryota; Metazoa; Chordata; Mammalia; Artiodactyla; Physeteridae. The transcript is spliced from 3 exons. The record is from RefSeq and is a predicted model, not a curated record.
CGUCGCGGAGCACAGGCUCCGGACGCGCAGGCGCAGCGGCCACGGCUCACGGGCCCAGCCGCUCCGCGGCACGUGGGAUCCUCCCGGACCGGGGCGCGACCCCGGUUCCCCUGCGUCGGCAGGCGGACGCGCAACCGCUGCGCCCCCAGGGAAGCCCCUGUGCUUCUUGAGGUGUAGCUGUGAAGAUCAGACAAGAUGAGGAAAUUGAGGUCUAGAGAGGUGUAGUAACUAACCCAAGGUCACACAUUUAGCAAAGGGAGGAGCUGAUGGAAGAGGACUGCUUGAAAGAUGGGGAGUCUGUGCUCUGAUAUGGAGCCCACGAUCACUUCAGGUUUUGCAGAUGGGCUAAAAAAGGCAUUCAGGACUUCCCUGGUGGCCCAGUGGUAAACAAUCCGCCUUCCAAUGCAGGGGACAUGGGUUCGAUCGCUGGUCCAGGAACUAAGAUCCCACAUGCGGUGGGGCAACUAAGCCCGCGCGCCACAACUACUGAGCUCGCGCACCUCAGCUAGAGAGCCUGCGUGCCACAAACUAGAGCCCACGCGCCGGGGAGCCUGAGUGCCACAACUAGAGAGAGAAAACCUGCAUGCCACAGCUAGAGAGAAGCCCAUGUGCUGCAAUGAAGAUCCCGAGUUCCGCAACUAAGACCCGAG